Cavia porcellus (domestic guinea pig) is the source of this 664-nucleotide long non-coding RNA. RefSeq lists it as uncharacterized. NCBI's taxonomy places the organism in Eukaryota, Metazoa, Chordata, Mammalia, Rodentia, Caviidae. The transcript is spliced from 3 exons. The record is from RefSeq and is a predicted model, not a curated record.
ACUGAGGGAGGAAGGAAUGAGGGAGGAAGGGGAAAAGAGGGGGGAGAGGGAGACAGAAAAGUAGAAGGAGGCAGAGAAGGGAGAGGAGGAGGAAGAGAGCCAAUUCCAAUCCUCUUACCCACCCUGCAUAUCUUCACAAACAUUUAUCAUCAGACAGCCUAAAUAUUUACCUGGAGUCAGAGGAAACAGCCAGCAUGGUGGAACAGGCCGAUUGUCUCAGCACUCUGGGAGGCUGAGGCAGGAGGGUCACAAAUUCCACUCUGAGCCUCAGCUGGAAAACUUAGUGACUUAGUUUUGAAUCAAAAUCAAGGCAGCCACAGCAGCAGGGCUGAAGACACUCACACAAGAGGACUCCCUGGACUCCUUUGGAAAGGGGCAAACGUGACGAGACAAGUGUGUUUGAAGCAGAGGGGAACAGGAGCAGAGAGAAGCCAGAUUCAUGCCGCCUGCCUGGCCCCAGGAUGAAGAUGCUUCCUCAAGUCUGGGACCUGUGAUUAAGUGAUCAAAACUGCAACCCAUGAGCUUUCCUGCUAGCAAGUAACCUUUUGAGAAGUGGAUCGAUUCUUUGGUGAGAAGAUAGAAUCCCCGGUAUUGAGAGAGGAGGAGGAAGUAAGUGUGGAUACGCGAAGGCUUAGACCCCUGCAGGUGCAGGAAACUCACAGAC